This 382-nucleotide ribosomal RNA is filed under the name uncultured eukaryote. RNAcentral's name for it is "partial 18S ribosomal RNA". It matches the Rfam family "Eukaryotic small subunit ribosomal RNA", at positions 592 to 976 of the family's 1831-position model. The record is from RNAcentral.
UGUAAGCGUAUACCAAAGUUGUUGCAGUUAAAACGCUCGUAGUCGGAAUUUGGCAGUUCCGGAUGUGUGCACGUCGUGUGCGCACUUCGCGGGGAUUGCUUUUGUGGUCUUGCGUAGGAUGAGGCACUUUUAUUAGUGAACGUCCUCACGCAACCACUUUUUAAUGUGAGAAAAUCAGAGUGCUCAAAGCAGGCAUUUGCCGUGAAUGUAUUAGCAUGGAAUAAUAGAAUAGGACUUGGUUCUAUUUUGUUGGUUUGUUGGGACUGAGUAAUGAUUAAGAGGGACAGUUGGGGGCAUUUGUAUUUCGGUGCUAGAGGUGAAAUUCUUAGAUUACCGAAAGACAAACUGCUGCGAAAGCGUCUGCCAAGGAUGUUUUCAUUGA